RNAcentral lists this non-coding RNA (263 nucleotides) under Oryza sativa Indica Group (long-grained rice). RNAcentral's name for it is "cspA thermoregulator". It matches the Rfam family "cspA thermoregulator", at positions 1 to 250 of the family's 428-position model. Lineage: Eukaryota; Viridiplantae; Streptophyta; Magnoliopsida; Poales; Poaceae. The record is from Rfam by way of RNAcentral.
AUCGGUUUGGAAUACAGACCUUAUAAAAGCAGUUUAGUAAAGCAGUCCUCAGUUCACGGUGUUAUCAAUAGAUACUCUUCUUCGUGAGCCUCCUCCUAAGUGCCAAAUAAGUUACUCUCUAAAUACAGGCCAUCAUCGCCGCGCUUAGUGGCUCAAAAAAUAAGGAAUUAUCUAUGUCUAAUAAAAUGACUGGUUUAGUAAAAUGGUUUAACGCUGAUAAAGGUUUUGGCUUUAUCACGCCUGACGACGGCAGCAAAGAUGUA